RNAcentral lists this ribosomal RNA (1498 nucleotides) under Klebsiella sp. M1. RNAcentral describes it as "bacterial SSU rRNA". It matches the Rfam family "Bacterial small subunit ribosomal RNA". The record is from RNAcentral. Lineage: Bacteria; Pseudomonadati; Pseudomonadota; Gammaproteobacteria; Enterobacterales; Enterobacteriaceae.
AGAGUUUGAUCCUGGCUCAGAUUGAACGCUGGCGGCAGGCCUAACACAUGCAAGUCGAGCGGUAGCACAGAGAGCUUGCUCUCGGGUGACGAGCGGCGGACGGGUGAGUAAUGUCUGGGAAACUGCCUGAUGGAGGGGGAUAACUACUGGAAACGGUAGCUAAUACCGCAUAACGUCGCAAGACCAAAGUGGGGGACCUUCGGGCCUCAUGCCAUCAGAUGUGCCCAGAUGGGAUUAGCUAGUAGGUGGGGUAACGGCUCACCUAGGCGACGAUCCCUAGCUGGUCUGAGAGGAUGACCAGCCACACUGGAACUGAGACACGGUCCAGACUCCUACGGGAGGCAGCAGUGGGGAAUAUUGCACAAUGGGCGCAAGCCUGAUGCAGCCAUGCCGCGUGUGUGAAGAAGGCCUUCGGGUUGUAAAGCACUUUCAGCGGGGAGGAAGGCGGUGAGGUUAAUAACCUCAUCGAUUGACGUUACCCGCAGAAGAAGCACCGGCUAACUCCGUGCCAGCAGCCGCGGUAAUACGGAGGGUGCAAGCGUUAAUCGGAAUUACUGGGCGUAAAGCGCACGCAGGCGGUCUGUCAAGUCGGAUGUGAAAUCCCCGGGCUCAACCUGGGAACUGCAUUCGAAACUGGCAGGCUAGAGUCUUGUAGAGGGGGGUAGAAUUCCAGGUGUAGCGGUGAAAUGCGUAGAGAUCUGGAGGAAUACCGGUGGCGAAGGCGGCCCCCUGGACAAAGACUGACGCUCAGGUGCGAAAGCGUGGGGAGCAAACAGGAUUAGAUACCCUGGUAGUCCACGCUGUAAACGAUGUCGAUUUGGAGGUUGUGCCCUUGAGGCGUGGCUUCCGGAGCUAACGCGUUAAAUCGACCGCCUGGGGAGUACGGCCGCAAGGUUAAAACUCAAAUGAAUUGACGGGGGCCCGCACAAGCGGUGGAGCAUGUGGUUUAAUUCGAUGCAACGCGAAGAACCUUACCUGGUCUUGACAUCCACAGAACUUUCCAGAGAUGGAUUGGUGCCUUCGGGAACUGUGAGACAGGUGCUGCAUGGCUGUCGUCAGCUCGUGUUGUGAAAUGUUGGGUUAAGUCCCGCAACGAGCGCAACCCUUAUCCUUUGUUGCCAGCGGUUAGGCCGGGAACUCAAAGGAGACUGCCAGUGAUAAACUGGAGGAAGGUGGGGAUGACGUCAAGUCAUCAUGGCCCUUACGACCAGGGCUACACACGUGCUACAAUGGCAUAUACAAAGAGAAGCGACCUCGCGAGAGCAAGCGGACCUCAUAAAGUAUGUCGUAGUCCGGAUUGGAGUCUGCAACUCGACUCCAUGAAGUCGGAAUCGCUAGUAAUCGUAGAUCAGAAUGCUACGGUGAAUACGUUCCCGGGCCUUGUACACACCGCCCGUCACACCAUGGGAGUGGGUUGCAAAAGAAGUAGGUAGCUUAACCUUCGGGAGGGCGCUUACCACUUUGUGAUUCAUGACUGGGGUGAAGUCGUAACAAGGUA